This 204-nucleotide unclassified non-coding RNA is filed under the name Hevea brasiliensis (rubber tree). The record is from RNAcentral. Lineage: Eukaryota; Viridiplantae; Streptophyta; Magnoliopsida; Malpighiales; Euphorbiaceae.
CUUGAUGCAACAUUUAUUUUCUUGUUUCACUAGUUUGGAACUUCCAAGUCCAAAGAACCCUGAAACAGAUAUUCAUAACCAAAUAAUACAGCAAAAUUGAGUGGCAAUGACAGUUGGCCACAAUAUAAUUAUCAUGAACUAAAUCAACUGUCACCAAAUAAUAUUGUCAAUGGUAAAAUCGGAGGGCACUGAUUGUUUGACACA